UACGGAGGGAGCUAGCGUUAUUCGGAAUUACUGGGCGUAAAGCGCACGUAGGCGGCUUUGUAAGUGAGAGGUGAAAGCCCGGAGCUCAACUCCGGAACUGCCUUUUAGACUGCAUCGCUUGAAUCCAGGAGAGGUGAGUGGAAUUCCGAGUGUAGAGGUGAAAUUCGUAGAUAUUCGGAAGAACACCAGUGGCGAAGGCGGCUCACUGGACUGGUAUUGACGCUGAGGUGCGAAAGCGUGGGGAGCAAACAGG
This 253-nucleotide ribosomal RNA is filed under the name uncultured bacterium. RNAcentral's name for it is "partial 16S ribosomal RNA". It matches the Rfam family "Bacterial small subunit ribosomal RNA", at positions 524 to 776 of the family's 1533-position model. The record is from RNAcentral.